UUUAUGGAGAGUUUGAUCCUGGCUCAGGAUGAACGCUGGCGGCGUGCCUAAUACAUGCAAGUCGAGCGAACAGACGAGGAGCUUGCUCCUUUGACGUUAGCGGCGGACGGGUGAGUAACACGUGGAUAACCUACCUAUAAGACUGGGAUAACUUCGGGAAACCGGAGCUAAUACCGGAUAACAUGUUGAACCGCAUGGUUCAACAGUGAAAGACGGUCUUGCUGUCACUUAUAGAUGGAUCCGCGCCGCAUUAGCUAGUUGGUAAGGUAACGGCUUACCAAGGCAACGAUGCGUAGCCGACCUGAGAGGGUGAUCGGCCACACUGGAACUGAGACACGGUCCAGACUCCUACGGGAGGCAGCAGUAGGGAAUCUUCCGCAAUGGGCGAAAGCCUGACGGAGCAACGCCGCGUGAGUGAAGAAGGUCUUCGGAUCGUAAAACUCUGUUAUUAGGGAAGAACAAAUGUGUAAGUAACUAUGCACGUCUUGACGGUACCUAAUCAGAAAGCCACGGCUAACUACGUGCCAGCAGCCGCGGUAAUACGUAGGUGGCAAGCGUUAUCCGGAAUUAUUGGGCGUAAAGCGCGCGUAGGCGGUUUUUUAAGUCUGAUGUGAAAGCCCACGGCUCAACCGUGGAGGGUCAUUGGAAACUGGAAAACUUGAGUGCAGAAGAGGAAAGUGGAAUUCCAUGUGUAGCGGUGAAAUGCGCAGAGAUAUGGAGGAACACCAGUGGCGAAGGCGACUUUCUGGUCUGUAACUGACGCUGAUGUGCGAAAGCGUGGGGAUCAAACAGGAUUAGAUACCCUGGUAGUCCACGCCGUAAACGAUGAGUGCUAAGUGUUAGGGGGUUUCCGCCCCUUAGUGCUGCAGCUAACGCAUUAAGCACUCCGCCUGGGGAGUACGACCGCAAGGUUGAAACUCAAAGGAAUUGACGGGGACCCGCACAAGCGGUGGAGCAUGUGGUUUAAUUCGAAGCAACGCGAAGAACCUUACCAAAUCUUGACAUCCUCUGACCCCUCUAGAGAUAGAGUUUUCCCCUUCGGGGGACAGAGUGACAGGUGGUGCAUGGUUGUCGUCAGCUCGUGUCGUGAGAUGUUGGGUUAAGUCCCGCAACGAGCGCAACCCUUAAGCUUAGUUGCCAUCAUUAAGUUGGGCACUCUAAGUUGACUGCCGGUGACAAACCGGAGGAAGGUGGGGAUGACGUCAAAUCAUCAUGCCCCUUAUGAUUUGGGCUACACACGUGCUACAAUGGACAAUACAAAGGGUAGCGAAACCGCGAGGUCAAGCAAAUCCCAUAAAGUUGUUCUCAGUUCGGAUUGUAGUCUGCAACUCGACUACAUGAAGCUGGAAUCGCUAGUAAUCGUAGAUCAGCAUGCUACGGUGAAUACGUUCCCGGGUCUUGUACACACCGCCCGUCACACCACGAGAGUUUGUAACACCCGAAGCCGGUGGAGUAACCUUUUGGAGCUAGCCGUCGAAGGUGGGACAAAUGAUUGGGGUGAAGUCGUAACAAGGUAGCCGUAUCGGAAGGUGCGGCUGGAUCACCUCCUUU
This 1551-nucleotide ribosomal RNA is filed under the name Staphylococcus capitis. RNAcentral's name for it is "bacterial SSU rRNA". It matches the Rfam family "Bacterial small subunit ribosomal RNA". The record is from RNAcentral. RNAcentral also lists the same sequence under 1 other name. Lineage: Bacteria; Bacillati; Bacillota; Bacilli; Caryophanales; Staphylococcaceae.